This 506-nucleotide ribosomal RNA is filed under the name uncultured bacterium. Its description in RNAcentral is "partial 16S ribosomal RNA". It matches the Rfam family "Bacterial small subunit ribosomal RNA", at positions 29 to 523 of the family's 1533-position model. The record is from RNAcentral.
AGUGAACGCUGGCGGUAGGCCUAACACAUGCAAGUCGAACGGCAGCACAGAGGAGCUUGCUCCUUGGGUGGCGAGUGGCGGACGGGUGAGGAAUACAUCGGAAUCUACUCUGUCGUGGGGGAUAACGUAGGGAAACUUACGCUAAUACCUCAUACGACCUACGGGUGAAAGCAGGGGAUCUUCGGACCUUGCGCGAUUGAAUGAGCCGAUGUCGGAUUAGCUAGUUGGCGGGGUAAAGGCCCACCAAGGCGACGAUCCGUAGCUGGUCUGAGAGGGUGAUCAGCCACACUGGAACUGAGACACGGUCCAGACUACUACGGGAGGCAGCAGUGGGGAAUAUUGGACAAUGGGCGCAAGCCUGAUCCAGCCAUACCGCGUGGGUGAAGAAGGCCUUCGGGUUGUAAAGCCCUUUUGUUGGGAAAGAAAUCCAUCUGGUUAAUACCCGGAUGGGAUGACGGUACCCAAAGAAUAAGCACCGGCUAACUUCGUGCCAGCAGCCGCAGUAA